UACAGAGGUCUCAAGCGUUGUUCGGAUUCAUUGGGCGUAAAGGGUGCGUAGGCGGCGGGGAAAGUCUGAUGUGAAAUCCUGAGGCUCAACCCUGGAACUGCAUUGGAUACUUCCUUGCUAGAGUACUGGAGAGGAAACUGGAAUUUACGGUGUAGCAGUGAAAUGCGUAGAGAUCGUAAGGAAGACCAGUGGCGAAGGCGAGUUUCUGGACAGUUACUGACGCUGAGGCACGAAGGCCAGGGGAGCAAACGGG
RNAcentral lists this ribosomal RNA (253 nucleotides) under uncultured bacterium. RNAcentral describes it as "partial 16S ribosomal RNA". It matches the Rfam family "Bacterial small subunit ribosomal RNA", at positions 524 to 776 of the family's 1533-position model. The record is from RNAcentral.